UAAAGAGUUCUAUAACUCCCAAACCCAUGUGAACAUACCUAACGUUGCCUCGGCAGGUCGCACCUACCUUGUAGCACCCUACCCUGUAGGGCCUACCCGGGAGGUGCGGGUAAGCCUGCCGGCGGCCCACCAAACUCUGUUUGAUAUUGAAUUCUGAACCUAUAACUAAAUAAGUUAAAACUUUCAACAACGGAUCUCUUGGUUCUGGCAUCGAUGAAGAACGCAGCGAAAUGCGAUAAGUAAUGUGAAUUGCAGAAUUCAGUGAAUCAUCGAAUCUUUGAACGCAUAUUGCGCCCAUUAGUAUUCUAGUGGGCAGGACCGUUCGAGCGUCAUUUCAACCCUUAAGCCUUCGUUGCUUAGUGUUGGGAGCCUACGGCAACGUAGCUCCUCAAAGUUAGUGGCGGAGUUGGUUCACACUCUAGACGUAGUAAUUUUUUAUCUCGCCUAUUAGUUGGACUAAUCCCCUGCCGUAAAACCCCCAAUUUAUCAAGGUUGACCUCGAAUCGGUUCAGACAAACUCGCUAAAUUGAAGCAUCUUAGUCAGCGAAGGAAAAGAAA
This 558-nucleotide ribosomal RNA is filed under the name fungal endophyte. Its description in RNAcentral is "eukaryotic LSU rRNA". The stretch from base 179 to 332 matches the Rfam family "5.8S ribosomal RNA". Lineage: Eukaryota; Fungi. The record is from RNAcentral.